This 497-nucleotide ribosomal RNA is filed under the name uncultured bacterium. Its description in RNAcentral is "partial 16S ribosomal RNA". It matches the Rfam family "Bacterial small subunit ribosomal RNA", at positions 28 to 507 of the family's 1533-position model. The record is from RNAcentral.
GAUGAACGCUGGCGGCGUGCCUAAUACAUGCAAGUCGAGCGAACAGAUGAGGAGCUUGCUCCUCUGACGUGAGCGGAGCACGGGUGAGUAACACGUGGAUAACGUACCUAUAAGACGGGGAUAACUUCGGGAAACGGGAGCUUAUACCGGAGAAUAUAUUGAACCGCAUGGUGCAAUAGUGAAAGUCGGUUGUGCUGGCACGUAUAGAUGGAUCCGGGCCGGUUUAGCUAGUUGGUAAGGUCACGGCUUACGAAGGCUAGCAUGCGUGGCCGACCUGAGGGAGUGGUAGGCCACACUGGAGCUGAGACACGGUCAAGGCGACUACGGGAGGGAGCAGUAGGGAAUCUUCCGCAAUGGGCGAAAGCCUGACGGAACAACGCGGCGCCAGUGGUGAAAACCUCCGGAUCGUAAAACUCUGUUACGAGUGAAGAACCAAUGUGUACGUAACUAUACACUUCUUGACGGUAACUAGUCAGAAAGCCACGGCUAACUACGUG